RNAcentral lists this ribosomal RNA (359 nucleotides) under uncultured eukaryote. Its description in RNAcentral is "partial 18S ribosomal RNA". It matches the Rfam family "Eukaryotic small subunit ribosomal RNA", at positions 592 to 975 of the family's 1831-position model. The record is from RNAcentral.
CAAUAGCAUAUAUUAACGUUGUUGCAGUUGAAAAGCUCGUAGUUGAACUUUUGGUAGGAGCGACCUGGCCUUGGGCGCAUGCCCUUGUUUGCCGUGUGUCGUGUCUGGCCAUCCUUUUCCGUUUCGGCGGGAAUCCUUUACUGUGAGUAAACUGGAGUGCUCAAAACAAGACGUUUGUUUGGUACAUUAAAGCAUGGAAUAAUAAGAUAGGACCUGGUUACUAUUUUGUUGGUUUGCACAGCUAGGUAAUGAUUAACAGGGACAGUUGGGGGUAUUCGUAUUUAAUUGUCAGAGGUGAAAUUCUUGGAUUUAUGAAAGACGAACGACUGCGAAAGCAUUUACCAAGGAUGUUUNCAUUA